UGGGGAAUUUUGGACAAUGGGGGCAACCCUGAUCCAGCCAUCCCGCGUGUGCGAUGAAGGCCUUCGGGUUGUAAAGCACUUUUGGCAGGGAAGAAACAGCCUGGGAUAAUACCCCGGGCGACUGACGGUACCUGCAGAAUAAGCACCGGCUAACUACGUGCCAGCAGCCGCGGUAAUACGUAGGGUGCAAGCGUUAAUCGGAAUUACUGGGCGUAAAGCGUGCGCAGGCGGUUCGGAAAGAAAGGUGUGAAAUCCCAGGGCUUAACCUUGGAACUGCACUUUUAACUACCGAGCUAGAGUACGUCAGAGGGGGGUAGAAUUCCACGUGUAGCAGUGAAAUGCGUAGAGAUGUGGAGGAAUACCGAUGGCGAAGGCAGCCCCCU
RNAcentral lists this ribosomal RNA (383 nucleotides) under uncultured bacterium. RNAcentral describes it as "partial 16S ribosomal RNA". It matches the Rfam family "Bacterial small subunit ribosomal RNA", at positions 355 to 730 of the family's 1533-position model. The record is from RNAcentral.